UACGAGCUAAGCUUAAAACCCAAAGGACUUGACGGUACCCCAUAUCCCCCUAGAGGAGCCUGUCCUAUAAUCGAUAACCCCCGUUUAACCUCACCAUUUCUAGCAACUCAGCCUGUAUACCUCCGUCGUCAGCUUACCACGUGAGCGCUAGUGAGCUCAAUGUUUUUCCAACUAAACGUCAGGUCAAGGUGCAACACAUGAAAUGGGAAGAGAUGGGCUACACUUUCUAGCAUAGACCAUACGAAAGACUAUCUAUGAAAUCUAGUCAGA
Molecule: ribosomal RNA, 270 nt
Filed under: Ranitomeya variabilis (Zimmermann's poison frog)
Lineage: Eukaryota; Metazoa; Chordata; Amphibia; Anura; Dendrobatidae
Description: partial 12S ribosomal RNA
Rfam family: Bacterial small subunit ribosomal RNA
Source: RNAcentral